RNAcentral lists this ribosomal RNA (493 nucleotides) under uncultured bacterium. RNAcentral's name for it is "partial 16S ribosomal RNA". It matches the Rfam family "Bacterial small subunit ribosomal RNA", at positions 28 to 507 of the family's 1533-position model. The record is from RNAcentral.
AACGAACGCUGGCGGCAUGCUUAACACAUGCGAGUCGAACGGCAGGGCCCCCACCUUGGUGGGGGUGCGCGAGUGGCGAACGGGUGAGUAACACGUGGAUGAGCUGCCCUGUACUGCGGGGUAAGCUUGGGGCAGGAGGUCUAAUACCGGCUAGGAACAUGGUUUAGUGGCUCAUGGUGGAGCCAUUAUUUUUUUGGUGGAGGGUGAGCUGGCUGCCUAUCUGUUAGUUGGUGGGGUAAUGGCCGACCAAGGCGGCGACCGGUCGCUGGCCUGAGAGGACGAGCAGACAGCCUGGAUCUGAGUCACGGCCCAGACACCCACGGGAGGCAGCAGGGGGGAAUUUUGAACGCUGGGCGGAAGCCUGCUCCAGCCAGCCCCGGUGCGUGAAGAAGGACUUCGGGUUGUAUAGCACUUUUGUUCGGAAAGAACGACGCCACACUAAUACAGGGUGGGGUUGCCGGUACCGUAAGAAUAAGCACCGGCUAACUACGUG